CCCCUGUGGACAGCUGUGCUAUUUGCCUGCUUUGUUUUUUUCUCUCUCUUACCUCUUAUUUCCCUGUUCUCUCCACCAAUGCAUUCAGAUCCCCGGGAUGGAGUGCGCUGAUACUGCUGCGUUCUUCCUGCACCAACUGUCCGGGCGGCUCAGCAUGUUCUACAGAACAGCAUGCCUUUGGGAAUGCUUGGAGUAUGUAGCCUGACAGCAAGAGAACACUGCGCUCUUCUGGCUAUUUCUCAACAUGUCAGAGGGACAGGAGUGUGCUCAGCCUUGUGUGGUUGCACGUAUGCAAAAAUCCCUAUCGCAGCUGUAAACAUCUUUGUUGUUCUGCUUUACAGCAGUAGUGUGUGACGAGAAGCCUACCACUAUCAAUUUAGAGGAGUGCACGGAAGCUUUUGGGCAUGAUUUAUCCUCACUAUACCUCACACUGGGUGGGAAAAGUUGGCACUGGAUCUCACAUAGCAGCUUGUAACAAAGCUCUUGCGCAAUAAAGAAGCAUUUCAACCGCUGCUUCUUGCAGCAGUACAGUGUUUCCAAAGAGAGAAAAACACCACUACUGGCAUAAACUGGAUUUCUGCUGUUGGUUGAGCAUGUGCAGUGGAAUUGCCAGGUCACAGCCUGAGCCAGUACGUGAGCACAUGAGUGCCUGGAGCUGGGGGAGCCUAGAUCCACCCUUCCUCUUUCUCCGUCCCAGCAGUGCUUCUGGGAGCGCGUACGCAGUCAGUCCGCAGGGGUCUCCUCAGCCCCCCCCCACGCCCCCCCAGGCCCGUCCCCCCCUUCUUCCAGCGAUCCAGAUUUCAAAGCGGAGAAGGCUGUGUUCCUCAGCUCACCCCUUUCUUCCAAACUCUCGCUCGGAGGGGUGAGUUGAUUGCUCUUUCUUUGAUAGCUUGUCCUAUAGUGCCUAGAUCUCAAAGAAAGGCUCUGUCAUUGCCCUUGUUUGCUUUACAGCAUGUCAGAGGUCGGUCAUUGCUAGGAAAGCUUGUGCUUUAAAGCACCAGGUUGUAUAGAGAAGGUAAUUCUAAAAGCGAGCUUGCCAGUUCUUUUUUACCUAAGUGGUUUUUGAGCAAGGAAAGAUUGGAGAUGCUGUUUGCUCAUGGAAGAUGGAGAGGAGGAAAAGCAAGUAAGACGCAUGCUGUGCAUAGCCACUGCAUGCCACCUGCACCAUUUCCCCCCUGAACAAAGGAGGAGCAGCUCAGCGAGCGUGGCCUGGGCCAUCGAAGGGAACAUCCAAACAUCUGGACCAACACCAAAUGGCUUAAUUCCGUAUGUUCGUUGUUUCUCUGUUGUUUGUCUCACAUCCUUCUGGAAAGAAAGCAGGAGGAGACAGACCUCCAAUUUGAUCCUGUUGUGUGUGAUGAUUACGGCCAAGGGGCAGAAGUUGGUGCUUAGGCAGGGGUAAAGCUGGGAAAGCUAAGCCUCGUCGAGGAACGAGAGAUUAAAGUAGAGCUCAUUCUACAUGGCUGUUCAGCACGUUGAAGGUAUUUAUCGUGCAGCAGGAUCUGUCUGGCUGCAGGAACAUGGUCGGAUACGUUGUUUCCAGUAGAAACUCAGUAAGCAGCGGCUGUGUGUUUAAAGUGCUGAUUGUAAUGGACUUCUGCCGAGGUGAGUGGGGGCUCAGCGUGUUGCUCAGUGGUAGGUUUGGUCAUUUUCAGUGCUGACAGGAAACGUGCAUGCAAGGAGUGACCAGAAGGGUUGGAGCCAGGGUCCGCCCCUUCUGAGACCCCCUUGAAGGGCUGGCAGUGGAGGGGCAAGGGUAUGUCGCUGGAGAUCCCUGCAUACCUGAAACCUGCUGAAGUUAGGCAGCUUCUUUCCUUUCUUUCUCUGCCCACAGCUUUUGCAUGUGAGCAAAUCCUCACUUGCUGCAGCCUAGGACCUUGCUGUCAUUGCUGCGCUUUCCAUCACGUUGCAGUACCCAAGCAGGAGGCUUACUUCUCUCCUCCUGCACGGGCACAACCACUUCAAAGCAUCUCUUAAGAGAGAGAUUACUUUGUUCAACCAGUACUGGCAGCAAAGUUAUCACUUGCGAUCACUGAGCCAUUUCAGCACAUUUUUUUAAUAGGUAAAAAGUAUCAAGGGAAGAUUUCUGCCUUUACCUGGACGAACCUGUCCACCGUGUUCUGGGUCAGGCCUUCUGACUUCUUCUGGCUUUGCUUAUCCUAUUGAACAAAAUUUAAACAAAUAAAGAAUGAGAAAUAAAAAUAGGUGGAAG
Gallus gallus (chicken) is the source of this 2212-nucleotide long non-coding RNA. RefSeq lists it as uncharacterized. The record is from RefSeq and is a predicted model, not a curated record. Lineage: Eukaryota; Metazoa; Chordata; Aves; Galliformes; Phasianidae. The transcript is spliced from 4 exons.